UUAUACUGCUUCUAACUGUCUAUUUAAUUAGACAAUACAUGACUAUUUGACCUCAAAUCAGGUAGGACUACCCGCUG
This 77-nucleotide ribosomal RNA is filed under the name Gymnopilus picreus. Its description in RNAcentral is "partial 28S ribosomal RNA". The record is from RNAcentral. Lineage: Eukaryota; Fungi; Basidiomycota; Agaricomycetes; Agaricales; Galerinaceae.